This 480-nucleotide ribosomal RNA is filed under the name uncultured bacterium. RNAcentral's name for it is "partial 16S ribosomal RNA". It matches the Rfam family "Bacterial small subunit ribosomal RNA", at positions 28 to 507 of the family's 1533-position model. The record is from RNAcentral.
GACGAACGCUGGCGGCGUGCUUAACACAUGCAAGUCGAACGGAAAGGCCUGCUUUCCCUUGUGUAUUGCGGGUACUCGCGUGGCGAACGGGUGAGUAACACGUGACUGAUCUGCUCGCAACUUUGGAAGAAGCUUGGGAAAAUGGGUCUAAUUCCCGCUAGGUCUGUAGGGUGGUGCGUGUGGUUGAAAACGAUGGUCUAGUGGUUGGGGAUGAGCUCGCGGCUUAUCAGCUUGUUGGUGGGGUAGUGGCCUACCAAGGCGGCGACGGGUAGCCGGCCUGAGAGGGUGAACGGCCACAUUGGGACUGAGAUACGGCCCAGACUCCUACGGGAGGCAGCAGUGGGGAAUAUUGCACAAUGGGCGGAAGCCUGAUGCAGCAACGCCGCGUGCGGGAUGACGGCCUUCGGGUUGUAAACCGCUUUCGCCUGUGACGAAGCGUGAGUGACGGUAAUGGGUAAAGAAGCACCGGCUAACUACGUG